UGGGGAAUAUUGCGCAAUGGAGGAAACUCUGACGCAGCAACGCCGCGUGUGUGAAGAAGGCCCUAUGGGUUGUAAAGCACUGUUGAGGUGGGAAGAGCAGGCGGAAGUUAAUACCUUUCGCUCCGACGGUACCAUCUGAGGAAGCACCGGCCAACUCUGUGCCAGCAGCCGCGGUAAUACAGAGGGUGCAAGCGUUGUUCGGAAUUAUUGGGCGUAAAGCGUGCGUAGGCGGACAACUAAGUCUGAUGUGAAAUCCCUUGGCUUAACUGAGGAGCUGCAUUGGAUACUGGUUGUCUUGAGUCUUGGAGAGGAUAGCGGAAUUCCCAGUGUAGAGGUGAAAUUCGUAGAUAUUGGGAGGAACACCAGUGGCGCAAGCGGCUAUCUGGACAAUGACUGACGC
RNAcentral lists this ribosomal RNA (400 nucleotides) under uncultured bacterium. RNAcentral's name for it is "bacterial SSU rRNA". It matches the Rfam family "Bacterial small subunit ribosomal RNA", at positions 355 to 746 of the family's 1533-position model. The record is from RNAcentral.